AGCUUACGCCGCGAACUGCGGCAAUCUGUACCGAAAUCGGCAUUUUCUUCAAUAUAUAUCUUCGCGUAGCCUCACCGUAUCGCCAAACCGACUUCGCCAGCGCGUUCGCAUACCUAACAAUUAGGUUUAUACAGAAUCAAUUUAGAUCAAACCCCUUUAUAUAGCAAAACUCUCUUUUUGAGCCCUAACAUGCUACUAUUGCAAGAAAUCACCAAAUUGAUUCAUGAUUCAAGCAAAUAGCAUUUAUUUAGCACCUAAGGGUUCCUCUAA
This 270-nucleotide long non-coding RNA is filed under the name Ananas comosus (pineapple). RNAcentral describes it as "long non-coding RNA (ACOM_LNC039161)". Lineage: Eukaryota; Viridiplantae; Streptophyta; Magnoliopsida; Poales; Bromeliaceae. The record is from RNAcentral.